GUCAGUUGCUGAAGACAGCAGGUACUCCCCUUUAUUCUGUUGUUUCAUACCCUUUCUCCUCCUGCCAAACAUGCUGUGGGGUUCCUGGUAUCCUGGUUACCUCUGAGUGGAGGGAGAGCUGCUGGAUAGAAUAGAAAGUUGCCUGUAGUUUCCUUCUGGGACUGUAAGGCAGGCACAGGUUAGGGAGUGGCUUUGUGAUUUGCAGAGGUCUCUCUCUGCUGGGUCACAUUAUUGUAGUGGAGCUGAGAAGCCAGCACAGCUUUGGAUAUGUGGCAAUGUGUCCUAGAAAUUGGGCUGGCCAAACACUGCAGCACAGGCAAGUCCAAAUCCUGUGCUGGAGACUAAAAAUUAUCCCUGUGACCAAAGGCAGAGGGUCAAAACAUGAGGUAAAUGCUGUGUUACUUUCAAGUUCAUAGAAUGGUUUAGCAAAACUGCAAAAAUACAUCAACUGAGACAGCAAGCAGACCAUUUGAGGCUUGUUUCAGAUAUUUGCUUCCAGACAAGGAUUAUACCAUCUCCAGUUCUCCCUGCCAGUAAAAAUGGCAGUGUCCAAAGGAAACUUCCAUGGUCAGAAAUCCUGAGCUGCUAAGCACAGCAUUUCAAAGGGCAGAACUUCUGAAAUCAAAAGGAAAUGAGAGUCUGUUCUGAGAGCCAAAGGGAGAAAUGUUUUGUUUAAGCAUAAGAGACUGAGCCAGAUAUGACUCCUCUGCAUAUAAACAGCAAGAAGCUGCUUGGGACCUCUUAACUUGGCUUUGCUUGAGAGGAGCAGAGAGACUGAAGGGAAGAAGAAAGGAAGUAGGAAAACUUCAUCAUCCUGCAAUGGACUUUCUGGAGGAUCUUUCUUUCAGCAGCAAUUCACAGUGGACCUCAUCCUACCAAGCAAAAUUAGCUUUGUUAAUGCUGCUCCAAACUUGUCUCCUCUCGAAGUUGCUUUGUCUGUAAGCACCUCUCUGGCACAAAGGUGGUCUGGAACCUGCAGUCUUCAAGGCAGGGUUUGAGCUACAGCAGAGCAUGAGAUCAAGCCACAUCCAGCAGGGAUGGUAGAGAUGAGCAGUGCUCCUGCACUGCUCACAGCCACUGAUGCUGUUUGCACUGCCCAGCUGCAGGGAUGUGCAGUGACAGCAGGAAGAGUGCCACUCCUAGGAAGAGUUUCUGCUUUCUCCCAUUUGUGUCAGCUGGUUCUGUGCCUAGAAAAGCUGCUGCUUGUGCUCCACCACCUCAUCCCAAACCACAACUACAGUUCAACCUCCAGCAAGCAAUGCUGUACUGCAUCACAGUUUUUCUUCAGGUAAAGUGUGAAACUGCAAAUAUACUAAUGAGCACAAUUCCACACAGCAUUCUUGCACCACAGAGAUAGAUGAAAUUUUUACCAACAGACAGAACAGUCAAAGCUUGAAAAUACUAGAGCAAUAAUUUCUAGUUAGUAAGUCCAUUUUUAUAUUGAGUAACGUGAGAACAAAAGGCACAGGGGAACAGACGUUUUGGAAAAUUUAGCUUAAUACUAAAUUAUGUAUUUCAUAUUGUUUUAAAAAAACCCAACAUAAGCAGUGCCUAAGUGUGAUUAGAUGAAAUCUAAAACAUCUGCAAGAACUCCUAAAAAAACUAUGGAAAGUGGGAAGAAUUCAACAAAUGCUGGGAAACAAAGGAACAAGGAGCUGGGUUGAAUUUGUGUGCCUGCUUUAAUAUGCCAAGCUCUCCCCCGUAUUGCUUCCACUAUUGCUACACAGAAAUUGUACUUUCACCCUUUCACUGUGUAAAGCUUCCACUAACAUUGAGAGUUUACAGUCCUCAAGCCUGACAGCAGAAUUUCUUCUACCACUGAGCUAUAUGGUUCUUGGCAAUUUUCCUAUUUUCUCUCAGUGAAUAUAGAUAAUGGAAUUAAUUUUUCUCUUCAGAGAGAGGUAAUUAAGGUUUGACUUGAGCAAAGAGUUAAUUUGGCAUAACCUCUGAACUAUUUUAAGCAAAAAGGAUAACAUAACAGUUUGAAAAAUGGGAUAACCUUCAAUGCUAAUUUUGCCUCUUGUUAGAUUAUCUUUUAACCUAUUUUGCUUCCUCUUUAUUUCUAUCUCUAAAGACAUUUGGAUGAGCCAGACCAAGCAGUGAACAUUACGCUCUUUAAACAUACCUUGUGUCGUAGUUUGAAGAGAAAUAGUUUUUUUGAAAUAGUGUAGUCACGCCAAUCAGUGUCCAGAUUUUAAUAUUAGCACCUGGUUUGUCCAUUGAAGGCACAGAUACGCCUCAGAGAACACAGGGAGUUCAAAGCUGUGAACUCCCACUAGAAGUCCCUUUUGAGUUCCGGUCCUAGACCAGAGGAGACCUCUCCUGUCCAGCUCCGAGCUGGGAGGGGGGGGGGGGAGGGGAGCCAUGUGGCCGGAGGGAGGUAGGCCAGGCCUGGGCCGAAAAGUAGAAGAAGAGCACUGCACUGCAAGGGCUUUGGGCAGCCAUCUCCCCAUUCCCCCCCACCCCCUCCCCGAGGAAGAGAGAGAAAGCAGACUGUGCUUGUGAUAGCGCGGCUGGAGUGAAGGAGAAGGGGGGGUGCCCAGCAGGGCAGCCAGCCGUGAGAGUUUGUGAACCAAACCGGCAGAGCCUGAGACUUUUAACCCUUCUUAAGACAAUAAAAACCUUGCAAAUGCUGAUUCCUCCUAGAGUUAGUGAAAUUGAGAAAAGUUGAAAAAAAUUCUAAGUAAGAAGAAAUGAUAGAGUAGCUUUUAGCUAGACUUUUCUUAGAUAGCUAUAGACAGAACCCUUGAGUUCCUGUGACACAGAGACUGCAUUCUAAGGGGAGGCAAGGGCUCAGAGCCAAGAAAGUGCAGUGAUGUGAAGGUGUGUGAACAGAGACGAAGAGUAGAAGAAGGUGGUGGUAGCACCCUCCAUCUUCAAAGAAAAAAAGAUAAUCUCUGUUCAAAAAACCCCUCAGCCCCAGGGGGUGAAACAUAGAGCAAAGAAGUGUCCCAAAAAGAAAAAGACUGUGCUCUUUUUUAGAACUAAACAAAGCAUCCUUAAAGAGAAAAAACCCUAGAAGCAACUCUAGUCCAUGUGCAGUGGUGAGAGCACUGGACAUAGAAAGAAGUCACAAUAACAAAACGUUCUCCAGGCGGUGCCACACGUGACACAGAAACACGAAGUUUCGACUGUUUCCUGAGUGAAAUCUGUAGUGCAAGAAGAACUCCACUCUUCUCAAAAAAUUAAAAAUUGAUUAUCCAAAAAGUAGUAACAGAAUUUAAAAAAUUGAUGGGGGGAGGAGGAGGAAAUUUAGAAAGUUUUCAUCCUGUGUUCUGAUUUUUUUUUUCCCCUGUAGUUUUAUGUUAAUAAAGUUUU
Molecule: long non-coding RNA, 3318 nt
Organism: Haemorhous mexicanus (house finch)
Lineage: Eukaryota; Metazoa; Chordata; Aves; Passeriformes; Fringillidae
Exons: 4
Source: RefSeq, a predicted model, not a curated record